This 559-nucleotide ribosomal RNA is filed under the name uncultured bacterium. Its description in RNAcentral is "bacterial SSU rRNA". It matches the Rfam family "Bacterial small subunit ribosomal RNA", at positions 338 to 916 of the family's 1533-position model. The record is from RNAcentral.
CCUACGGGAGGCAGCAGUGGGGAAUCUUGCACAAUGGAGGAAACUCUGAUGCAGCGAUGCCGCGUGAGUGAAGAAGGCCUUUGGGUUGUAAAGCUCUUUUGUAGGGGAAGAUAAUGACUGUACCCUAAGAAUAAGGUCCGGCUAACUUCGUGCCAGCAGCCGCGGUAAUACGAAGGGACCUAGCGUAGUUCGGAAUUACUGGGCGUAAAGCGCGCGUAGGCCGUUGAGUUAGUUAAUUGUGAAAUCCCAAAGCUUAACUUUGGAACUGCAAUUAAAACUGCUCGACUAGAGUUUGAUAGAGGAAAGCGGAAUACAUAGUGUAGAGGUGAAAUUCGUAGAUAUUAUGUAGAACACCAGUUGCGAAGGCGGCUUUCUGGAUCAACACUGACGCUGAGGCGCGAAAGUAUGGGUAGCAAAGAGGAUUAGAUACCCUCGUAGUCCAUACCAUAAACGAUGAUUGCUAGAUGUUGGAAAUUUAUUUUCAGUAUCGCAGCUAACGCAUUAAGCAAUCCGCCUGGGGAGUACGACCGCAAAGGUUAAAACUUAAAGGAAUUGACGG